GGAACGUGUCUCUGUGUUGUCUAGAUGUCUAUCAGGAUUGUGUCUCUGUGUUGUCUAGAUGUCUAUCAGGAUUGUGUCUCUGUGUAACCACCUGACCAGGAUGAUGAGAAAAGGGCAGGAACAACAACAGGACCAGAGGAGCUGUGACAGCGACAACGAGGAAGAGACCAGGAAGACGAGACUACAGACCAGGAAGAGGAGUAACACUUCCUGAAGACAACAACCAAUCAAAACGCCACCGUUCCUCCAUUCCACUUCCUGAAGACAACAACCAAUCAAAACGCCACCGUUCCUCCAUUCCACUUCCUGAAGACAACAACCAAUCAAAACGCCACCGUUCCUCCAUUCCACUUCCUGAAGACAACAACCAAUCAAAAACGCCACCGUUCCUCCAUGCCACUUCCUGAAGACAACAACCAAUCAAAACGCCACCGUUCCUCCAUUCCACUUCCUGAAGACAACAACCAAUCAAAAACGCCACCGUUCCUCCAUUCCACUUCCUGAAGACAACAACCAAUCAAAAACGCCACCGUUCCUCCAUUCCACUUCCUGAAGACAACAACCAAGCACCAUUUAAAUCCAGUUGUCUAUGAAGUUAUAGGUCUUUUCUCAGUGAAAGGUCAUAGACAUGAAGUCUUUUUUUUAAAAUGAUACUUCUGUAUAUGACGGGAAAUACAAGACAGCAGAAUGAAUCAAAUCAAAUCAAAUCAAAUCAAAUGUAUUUAUAUAGCCCUUCGUACAUCAGCUGAUAUCUCAAAGUGCUGUACAGAAACCCAGCCUAAAACCCCAAACAGCAAACAAUGAAUCCGUUUGUGUUCUUACUGUAUUUUACAUCAGUGUUGCAUGUAUAAAACGUGUUUUCCUAUUAGAUUAUGUGUCACGCCCUGUUUAUUCUCUACGUUGGUCGGGGCGUGACAGUGACUAGGGUGGGUUAUCUAGGUGAUUAAUGAUUUAUGUUGGCCCGGUAUGGUUCCCGCAUUCAGAGGCAGCUGUUUAUUCGUUGUCUCUGAUUGGGGGGGGAUCAUGUUUAGGCAGCCAUUUCCCCUUUGUGCUUUGUGGGAUGUUGUCUAGGUAUAGUUGUCUCUGAUUGGGGGGGGGAUCAUGUUUAGGCAGCCAUUUCCCCUUUGUGCUUUGUGGGAUGUUGUCUAGGUAUAGUUGCCUCUGAGCUUCACGUUUCCGUUUUUUUCUUCUUCUCUUUAUUGUUUUGUUUUUCUUUUAAAGUUUAUUUUUCAAAAUAAAAGGAUGGAAACACCACGCUGCAUCUUGGUCCGCUCGUUAUAACGAUCGUGACAUUAUGUUUAACCUGUGUAUGCAUUCACUAUACUGGCUAUUGCCAUUUCCUUACAUAAAUCUACCACCACUUUUCAACGUGUGAUUUAUGGGGAAUUCAUCAAUAUUUCAUGUAUUUUUCUGAUUUGUAAACUAUAUUAUGAAACCCUACAACCCAAACCAAUCCCUAAUUGCUGUAACAAUAACAAUAAAUAUGACUAUAAAUCUU
This is a long non-coding RNA of Oncorhynchus keta (chum salmon), 1498 nucleotides long. RefSeq lists it as uncharacterized. The record is from RefSeq and is a predicted model, not a curated record. NCBI's taxonomy places the organism in Eukaryota, Metazoa, Chordata, Actinopteri, Salmoniformes, Salmonidae. The transcript has 2 exons.